UAUCCAUGGUGUGGACAAUUUCUUUGGUGUUCCCUAAAUCUUUCACAAGCAUCUAAAAGAUAUUCAUCUUCUUUUUGUUUAAAAGUUCUUAUCUUGUUUCUUAAGAGA
RNAcentral lists this small nucleolar RNA (108 nucleotides) under Eutrema salsugineum. RNAcentral describes it as "Plant small nucleolar RNA R71". It matches the Rfam family "Plant small nucleolar RNA R71". Rfam says of the family: R71 is a member of the C/D box family of snoRNAs containing the C (UGAUGA) and D (CUGA) box motifs. Multiple nearly identical copies of this snoRNA have been identified in Arabidopsis, and it is thought to function as a 2'-O-ribose methylation guide for 18S ribosomal RNA. Lineage: Eukaryota; Viridiplantae; Streptophyta; Magnoliopsida; Brassicales; Brassicaceae. The record is from Rfam by way of RNAcentral.